AAGCGAUGGCGACCGGCGCACGGGUGAGUAACACGUAUCCAACCUGCCGAUAACUCGGGGAUAGCCUUUCGAAAGAAAGAUUAAUACCCGAUGGCAUAAUAGAACCGCAUGGUUUGAUUAUUAAAGAAUUUCGGUUAUCGAUGGGGAUGCGUUCCAUUAGGCAGUUGGUGGGGUAACGGCCCACCAAACCUUCGAUGGAUAGGGGUUCUGAGAGGAAGGUCCCCCACAUUGGAACUGAGACACGGUCCAA
This 250-nucleotide ribosomal RNA is filed under the name uncultured bacterium. RNAcentral describes it as "partial 16S ribosomal RNA". It matches the Rfam family "Bacterial small subunit ribosomal RNA", at positions 83 to 334 of the family's 1533-position model. The record is from RNAcentral.